GCCGUGUGGGUGUGCUGGAUAGCAUCGCAGUCUUCGAAACUGCGGGACGGGGUUCGAUUCCCUGACACGGUGC
Molecule: transfer RNA, 73 nt
Filed under: Posidoniimonas corsicana
Lineage: Bacteria; Pseudomonadati; Planctomycetota; Planctomycetia; Pirellulales; Lacipirellulaceae
Description: Planctomycetes bacterium KOR34 tRNA-Arg
Rfam family: tRNA
About the family: Transfer RNA (tRNA) molecules are approximately 80 nucleotides in length.
Source: RNAcentral